GGGCCGUUGGCGCAGCUGGUAGCGCGUCUGCAUGGCAUGCAGAAGGUCACCGGUUCAAAUCCGGUACGGUCCA
RNAcentral lists this transfer RNA (73 nucleotides) under bacterium. RNAcentral describes it as "tRNA-Ala". It matches the Rfam family "tRNA". From Rfam's summary of the family: Transfer RNA (tRNA) molecules are approximately 80 nucleotides in length. Their secondary structure includes four short double-helical elements and three loops (D, anti-codon, and T loops). The record is from RNAcentral.